Cryptomeria japonica (Japanese cedar) is the source of this 528-nucleotide long non-coding RNA. RefSeq lists it as uncharacterized. NCBI's taxonomy places the organism in Eukaryota, Viridiplantae, Streptophyta, Pinopsida, Cupressales, Cupressaceae. The record is from RefSeq and is a predicted model, not a curated record. The transcript is spliced from 3 exons.
CGUUAAUAGAUGAAAUUUGGAGCUCAUUGAUUUAUUGCUUUCUUUUACAGUGAUGGUUGUUUUGAAAUUGGGUUUAGGAGAAAGGUGAUUAAAGAUGGUCUGCAACUAUGGUUGCAGGUUGCGUUGCUCACAUGGCAGUCUAAAAGUUGGAGGAUGGGUUGGAAAAUUCAUCAAGGCUACGGCUAUGGAAGAUAUGAUGGGAUUUGUUUGCCUAGAGAUAAAAAUUGCAGAAGGAAUAGAGAACUAUUUUGGCCACAGAGCUCAAUUUCAAGGCCGUGGAAAUUACAGAAGAUGUUCCAUUAAAAUCCUACUUGGUGAAAAGUGACACAGUGAAAAAUAUCAUAUUACAUGUAGUAGAGAGAGUCCCUCCCUAAAGACUUCUGUGAUAGAAGAAUGAUUUUCUUCUCCGGUUAACAGUUUACUUGUUUUAUUAAUAAAAAUCUUAAAAACAUCAUUUAGAUGAUGCUUGGAGCAUCUUUAUCUGCUUAAUCCAAUGUUUUCUACGUACGGUAAACUGUCCAUCUUGUG